CCUCCUUUGAGAAAAUGCUCUCCCUGCCAA
Molecule: non-coding RNA, 30 nt
Filed under: Mus musculus (house mouse)
Lineage: Eukaryota; Metazoa; Chordata; Mammalia; Rodentia; Muridae
Source: RNAcentral